This 429-nucleotide ribosomal RNA is filed under the name Actinomycetes bacterium. Its description in RNAcentral is "Actinobacteria bacterium partial 16S ribosomal RNA". It matches the Rfam family "Bacterial small subunit ribosomal RNA", at positions 355 to 776 of the family's 1533-position model. Lineage: Bacteria; Bacillati; Actinomycetota; Actinomycetes. The record is from RNAcentral.
UAGGGAAUCUUCCGCAAUGGGCGAAAGCCUGACGGAGCAACGCCGCGUGAGUGAUGAAGGUCUUCGGCUCGUAAAACUCUGUUAUUAGGGAAGAACAAAUGUGUAAGUAACUAUGCACGUCUUGACGGUACCUAAUCAGAAAGCCACGGCUAACUACGUGCCAGCAGCCGCGGUAAUACGUAGGUGGCAAGCGUUAUCCGGAAUUAUUGGGCGUAAAGCGCGCGUAGGCGGUUUUUUAAGUCUGAUGUGAAAGCCCACGGCUCAACCGUGGAGGGUCAUUGGAAACUGGAAAACUUGAGUGCAGAAGAGGAAAGUGGAAUUCCAUGUGUAGCGGUGAAAUGCGCAGAGAUAUGGAGGAACACCAGUGGCGAAGGCGACUUUCUGGUCUGUAACUGACGCUGAUGUGCGAAAGCGUGGGGAUCAAACAGG